RNAcentral lists this non-coding RNA (29 nucleotides) under Rattus norvegicus (Norway rat). Lineage: Eukaryota; Metazoa; Chordata; Mammalia; Rodentia; Muridae. The record is from RNAcentral.
UAGACAGUUUUGUUCUUAUUAUGGGGAAU